Molecule: ribosomal RNA, 497 nt
Filed under: uncultured bacterium
Lineage: Bacteria
Description: partial 16S ribosomal RNA
Rfam family: Bacterial small subunit ribosomal RNA
Source: RNAcentral
GAUGAACGCUGGCGGCGUGCCUAAUACAUGCAAGUCGAGCGAACAGACGAGGAGCUUGCUCCUCUGACGUUAGCGGCGGACGGGUGAGUAACACGUGGAUAACCUACCUAUAAGACUUGGAUAACUUCGGGAAACCGGAGCUACUACCGGAUAAUAUAUUGAACCGCAUGGUUCAAUAGUUAAAGACGGUUUUGCUGUCACUUAUAGAUGGAUCCGCGCCGCAUUAGCUAGUUGGUAAGGUAACGGCUUACCAAGGCGACGAUGCGUAGCCGACCUGAGAGGGUGAUCGGCCACACUGGAACUGAGACACGGUCCAGACUCCUACGGGAGGCAGCAGUAGGGAAUAUUCCGCAAUGGGCGAAAGCCUGACGGAGCAACGCCGCGUGAGUGAUGAAGGUCUUCGGAUCGUAAAACUCUGUUAUUAGGGAAGAACAAAUGUGUAAGUAACUAUGCACGUCUUGACGGUACCUAAUCAGAAAGCCACGGCUAACUACGUG